RNAcentral lists this long non-coding RNA (1248 nucleotides) under Ficedula albicollis (Collared flycatcher). Its description in RNAcentral is "lncRNA (ENSFALG00000024910.1)". The record is from RNAcentral. Lineage: Eukaryota; Metazoa; Chordata; Aves; Passeriformes; Muscicapidae.
AUGAACUGCAGGGGGAUUUUGGGUGGGGAUGCAGAAGCAACGAGGCCCCAAGAAGCUCCUUCCACGAGUCCUUUCAGGUCGCCUUUGAUCCAGGGGAGCCCCAAGUCCCCGGGGAGGCUCGUGCCGGGCUCCUGGGCUGCCCUGCUGCUGCUCGGGGGUCCUGGGGUGCUGCCCGCGCCCGGGGAUGUCUCUGGAGGACAGGCGGGGCCGGGGGUCCCUUGCCGGGGGCAGUGGUGGGAUCGGAUCCCCCCGGACCCGCGCCCGCCCCGGCCUCAGUCGCGCCUCUUGCCCUCCCUGCCCGGCUCCCAGGGCUUCCUGCCCUUCUGCUGCUUCCAGUCCCGCCUCGGGCUCUCCCGGCCGCCCUCAGCCCGGCCGGGCCGGCCCUUCCACCCCUCCCGCCGGGACUCCUCCCGCUCCCGCCGUCUCUCCUUCCUCUCCUUCCUCUCCCGGUCCCGCUUCUUCUGGGGCUGCUGCUCGGGUUCCCUGGGGGCCCUGGGGGCUCUGCCAGCUUUGUCCCCCGCUGUCCUGUCCUUGGCUCGUGCCUCCCUUCUGCUGCUCCGCUCCGCAUGGACAGCACGGCCUUCCCGGGAUUUCUCCUUCUUCUCCUCCUUCUUCUUCUUCUCCUCCUUCUCCUUCUCCUCCUCUUCCUCCUCCUCCUCUUCCUCCUCCUCCUCCUCCUCAUUCUCCUCUUUUUCUUCCUCCUUCUCUUCCUUUUCUUCUUCCUCCUCCUCCUCCUCCUUCUCCUCCUUCUCUGCCUUCUUCUCAUGCUUCUCCUGGCUCUUCUUCCCCUCCAUCACAGCCAUUGGCACCUCGGGAACAUCUUCAGGUUCUUCUUCCUUGUCCUCAUCCUCAUCCUUGCCUUCAUCUUUGUCCUCAUCCUCAUCCUUGUCCCCAUCCUUGUCUUCAUCCUCUGGUGUUGCGCGGCCAAACCACUUCUUGAAGAUCCAGGGUUCUGCCUGUGGGGACAAAGGGGACCAGGAGCUGAUGAUGCAGCCCCGGGGACCCCUCUCCAUCCCUCCCCCUGGGGACAAGGCACUCCCUGCUCCGGGAGGUGCCACCCUGACCCGUACCAGGUUGCUGUCAGCUUCGCUGUCAUCGUCAUCCUCACCAUCUUCGUCAUCACCGUCAUCCUCCAUCACGCUGCUCUCCGGGGGCGGCGGGGGCUGGGCAGUCACCACCUCCGGGAUCUCCUCCGCCUUGGGGCUCAGCAGCUCUGGGAGGGGAGAGGGACAGGCCGCUGUCAGCUGA